Long non-coding RNA from Engraulis encrasicolus (European anchovy), 328 nucleotides. RefSeq lists it as uncharacterized. NCBI's taxonomy places the organism in Eukaryota, Metazoa, Chordata, Actinopteri, Clupeiformes, Engraulidae. The transcript is spliced from 3 exons. The record is from RefSeq and is a predicted model, not a curated record.
GGGGCGCUCAUAGUCGUUCCAACAAGUCACGAUUUGCUGACCCAUUAUAAGCGCAAACUCGGGACUUUGGUCGCCCUGCAAGGUGAAUGUGGCGUUGUAAGGGGCGCUCAUAGUCGUUCCAACAAGGCAUUUUGCUGACAGCAAGGCGAUUUGCUGACCCAUUAGAAGCGCAAACUCGGGACUUUGGUCGCCCUGCAAGAUAAAUGCUGAAUUCAAGAGAAUAACUACAAUGCCCUUGCAGUCGAGAUUCCUGUCCCAGCUAGACAUAUUGUCUGACAAGCUGCUGAAGCUGUUCAAAAACAGAGGAGGACAGAUUGACAAACGCCUA